GAGAGAGAGAGGCAGAGACACAGGCAGAGGGAGAAGCAGGCUCCGCGCAGCGAGCCCGACGCGGGACUCGAUCCCCGGUCCCCAGGUCACGCCCUGGGCAGAAGGGGGCGCUAAACCGCUGCGCCAGCCCGGCUGCCCAUGAUUGAAAUUGCCGAUGGGAAAUUUUGAAGGAUAGAAGUUAAAAACGAGUGAAUGGGUGCUCAACUUUCCAUCUUUCGGGAGUAAAUGUAAGAAGUCUGGAGGCGGCUACCACAAGGUAGGGGAGCGGCGGGGAGCGCGGAGCAGCGGGCGCGGAGGCCGGGGCGCGAGGGGCGGGGCCGGCAGGCCGGCGGGUCCCCGGGGUGCACCAUAGAGGGCGCUGGAUGACCGAGGGACAGAGAGGCGCACGCCGCCCACGCCAGUGGCUCCGGGAACCCGCGCCGGCGAGCAAGAUGGCGGCCGUUUGACUGCGAGGCGAGGCGCGGCGCCGCGGGGUGCUGCCGGGGUGGCGACGGCGGGUUGGCUUGGAGCAACGGCCGCCGCCGGGACAGGCUCCCCGCGAGAUGGGACGUGAAGGGCUCCCGCCCGCCCCGCCGUCCUGCAGCUGCUGGAAUGACCUAGCAAUUGGCUAGGUAUACCCUGAACUAUAUAAGAUGUAUGGUGGGCCAGAAGCAGGCCUUCUUCCUGCAGACUUGGAAGGAGCUGAUGACAAAGGUCUGCCAGCAGAGCUCUGACUAUGUUCUUCAGUCUCAAAAAACAUAGAACAGCUACAGAAAAGGUACCACUGCCAUAAAUUUUGCCUACCCCAGGAAAUCUCCAGUUCAACUCUUGAGUUGCUCCGAUGAUCCACCCACCCUGGACCCAUACCCCUGUCUCCAGGCACUGAAUUUUAAGAGGAAAUUCCUGGAGACCCUAAAACCUUCAAGACACAAAGAAUGCAAGAUAGAGAAAAAUAGUGACAGUCAGUUCUUUUGGAGUAAAAUGUCACUGCCUCAAACAUACUUCAUAGGUAUUCAUCACAUACCAAUUCUGAAAUUAGCCUGCUUGUUAUGGUGUUAUGACAGCAAACAGUAUGCAAAGGUUGGUCAACACUUGAAAACUGUACCUUCAUUGCCUCAGACCUUCCAGGGCUGUCAUUGCAAGUCAGUGCAGUGUCUGUCCAGCAUAACAAUGAUUCCCUAAAGAGGAGAGCAGCUUGGUAAGAAGAAACUAAUGACUAUUAUUUUUUUUAAAGUUUCUCUUUAGAGGCAUCUCACUGAGAUAUGCACAAAAGAGAGAUUUGGUAUGUCACUAAUGGCACGUUCCAACCUUCAGAAUGCAUAAAAUGCUCCCGCAUCUAAUUAGAUAUGGGGUCAAAGUAAAGAAUUUCCUUCCCCAAAUUGACUGUGGGAGUUUGUGUAUUUAUUUGAGUGAACUGGGUCAGUUGACAGGUCCAGUCAACUUACAGACUCACUGUGAUUUAUGCUUUGGUAGGAAGGAAGAGCAGCUUUGGAAACUCAGACCUCUUCUAU
This 1490-nucleotide long non-coding RNA is filed under the name Vulpes vulpes (red fox). Its description in RNAcentral is "lncRNA (ENSVVUG00000022144.1)". Lineage: Eukaryota; Metazoa; Chordata; Mammalia; Carnivora; Canidae. The record is from RNAcentral.